RNAcentral lists this ribosomal RNA (253 nucleotides) under uncultured microorganism. Its description in RNAcentral is "partial 16S ribosomal RNA". It matches the Rfam family "Bacterial small subunit ribosomal RNA", at positions 524 to 776 of the family's 1533-position model. The record is from RNAcentral.
UACGUAGGGUGCGAGCGUUAAUCGGAUUAACGGGGCGUAAAGCGUGCGCAGGCGGCCCGUUAAGACAGGUGUGAAAUCCCUGGGCUCAACCUAGGAAUUGCGCUUGUGACUGGCGGGCUCGAGUACGGUAGAGGGGGGUGGAAUUCCUGGUGUAGCAGUGAAAUGCGUAGAGAUCAGGAGGAACACCGAUGGCGAAGGCAGCCCCCUGGGCCUGUACUGACGCUCAUGCACGAAAGCGUGGGGAGCAAACAGG